CAGCCGCCGCGGUAAUACAGAGGGUGCGAGCGUUAAUCGGAUUUACUGGGCGUAAAGCGUGCGUAGGCGGCUAAUUGAGUCGGAUGUGAAAUCCCCGAGCUUAACUUGGGAAUUGCAUUCGAUACUGGUUAGCUAGAGUGUGGGAGAGGAUGGUAGAAUUCCAGGUGUAGCGGUGAAAUGCGUAGAGAUCUGGAGGAAUACCGAUGGCGAAGGCAGCCAUCUGGCCUAACACUGACGCUGAGGUACGAAAGCAUGGGGAGCAAACAGGAUUAGAGACCCCUGUAGUCCCUGUCUCUUAUAA
This 301-nucleotide ribosomal RNA is filed under the name uncultured bacterium. Its description in RNAcentral is "partial 16S ribosomal RNA". It matches the Rfam family "Bacterial small subunit ribosomal RNA", at positions 509 to 809 of the family's 1533-position model. The record is from RNAcentral.